Molecule: ribosomal RNA, 300 nt
Filed under: uncultured Rhodocytophaga sp.
Lineage: Bacteria; Pseudomonadati; Bacteroidota; Cytophagia; Cytophagales; Rhodocytophagaceae
Description: bacterial SSU rRNA
Rfam family: Bacterial small subunit ribosomal RNA
Source: RNAcentral
GUCACAUACGGGCAAGCAGCGGGGGUAAUACGGAGGGUGCGAGCGUUAAUCGGAAGUACUGGGCGUAAAGCUUGCGCAGGCGGUUCGCUAAGACCGAUGGGAAAUCCCCGGGCGUAACCUGGGAACUGCAUUGGUGACUGGCGGGCUAGAGUGUGGCAGAGGGGGGUAGAAUUCCACGUGUAGCAGUGAAAUGCGUAGAGAUGUGGAGGAAUACCGAUGGCGAAGGCAGCCCCCUGGGCUAACACUGACGCUCAUGCACGAAAGCGUGGGGAGCAAACAGGAUUAGAUACCCUUGUAGUC